This 182-nucleotide non-coding RNA is filed under the name Rossellomorea marisflavi. The record is from RNAcentral. Lineage: Bacteria; Bacillati; Bacillota; Bacilli; Caryophanales; Bacillaceae.
UCUUACAUAACGAUCAUGGGUGAGGCGCUCGACGCCUCAUAAUAGGGAAGCCGGUUCAACUCCGGCGCGGUCCCGCCACUGUAAAUGGGUUUGCUCCUUCAACGCCACUGUUUCUGAGAAAUGGGAAGGCGAGGGAGCGCAUAUUCAUGAGCCAGGAGACCUGCCCAUGUUCUGAUCACACC